CUGGAAGAGGACUGGCAGUGUUCUGAAAAUGAACUACAAAGCUGCCUUUUACCCUGACAUCGAUCUGUGAGUAUGAUACAAGCAAAGUUACUUAAGUGUUAGACCAAUGAAACAAUUAAAAAAAGUCCUUAAACCUCCCUUACCAAUUACCAGUACGUAUGACACCACACAUGCACUUUUUUAUUGUCUCUUAAAAAUGCUCAAUUAAAUGCUUCAGACUGAAUGCAAAAGAAAGCAGAUUGAUUUUGGAGAGCAAUAGUUACACAGUGGAAAAAAGUGUCAAAUAUAAUGUCUUCUGAUAUUUUCCUUUUUAGGUAUGAUGGAGACACAUUUGUGUGUAGUGUUGAUGCAAACUUCAUAGUGUGGGAGAAGUUUGGUCGAAAAGACUACUAUUUUAAUGCAACCAUGCGUCAGGUAAUAUGUAUCAGGCAUAUACAGUAUGUGUGCUUGUUAUUACGUUGUUUCAGAAACACAAACCACCCUUUUGGCUCAAAAGGUAGCCUGCCUUCAUGAGGCACAAACAUGGAAAUCUAUGCUCGCUGACAGGAAGCAUCCUGAAGAGGCCUGGGGACCUCAUGGAGUAUAAUUUACAGUUUUAGUUUCAAUUUAGUUUAUAUAACCUUGGGUUUCUCCUAGAAGAUAUGUGCAAUCAUCUGGUUUAUUAACAGUGAAAUAAAAGGGAAUGUGUUUCAUAUCUUUCAGAAUUACAGGAGCUGUUUUGUUCAGACUUAUAAAAAAAUUGGAAUCCUUGACCAACCCUAUGAAAUUAUGAAUAGAAGUUUCAGAAAUGACCUAUGUUUUUCACUGAAAGAUAGUGCUACUUAUAUCUUUAUUGUAAAGAUUCUGGAUGCAAAUUACAGCUUUGAUCUUAGUGCUGUGUUUGCUGUCCAAUCAUAUGGAAUCAAAAUACAGGACCAGCUCUUGCCCAUGUAUGUGGUUUUGAUCCUUACCUUCAUCACACUCAUCAUGCUGUGUCUUGUCUUCUACAAAUAUGUCACUGUCUUUCGAAACAUGCUUUGGAAAAAACAUUUGUGAAUGAUUACUAAGAAUAUAGUUCAAUAAUAGUGUAUUUAGUUUCAGAUACAGUCCGUUUACUCUUAAUGUCACAUCACACAACCAAUGUAUGUUUAUUUGUGGGGUUUUUUCCCCAAAA
Molecule: long non-coding RNA, 1153 nt
Organism: Myxocyprinus asiaticus (Chinese sucker)
Lineage: Eukaryota; Metazoa; Chordata; Actinopteri; Cypriniformes; Catostomidae
Exons: 3
Source: RefSeq, a predicted model, not a curated record